Molecule: ribosomal RNA, 253 nt
Filed under: uncultured bacterium
Lineage: Bacteria
Description: partial 16S ribosomal RNA
Rfam family: Bacterial small subunit ribosomal RNA
Source: RNAcentral
UACGUAGGGACCAAGCGUUGUUCGGAUUUACUGGGCGUAAAGGGCGCGUAGGCGGCUUGACAAGUCACUUGUGAAAUCUCCGGGCUUAACUCGGAACGGCCAAGUGAAACUGUCAUGCUAGAGUGCAGAAGGGGCAAUCGGAAUUCUUGGUGUAGCGGUGAAAUGCGUAGAUAUCAAGAGGAACACCUGAGGUGAAGAUGGGUUGCUGGGCUGACACUGACGCUGAGGCGCGAAAGCCAGGGGAGCAAACGGG